Molecule: non-coding RNA, 1062 nt
Organism: Gasterosteus aculeatus aculeatus (three-spined stickleback)
Lineage: Eukaryota; Metazoa; Chordata; Actinopteri; Perciformes; Gasterosteidae
Source: RefSeq, a predicted model, not a curated record
UGACCUUGGUGACCCAUCUGUCUGUAUCUUUAGACCUUGGUGACCCAUCUAUCUUAAUCUUUAGACCUUGGUGACCCAUCUAUUUUUAUCUUUAGACCUUGGUGACCCAUCUAUCUUUAUCUUUAGACCUUGGUGACCCAUCUACCUUUAUCUUUAGACCUUGGUGACCCAUCGAUCUUUAUCUUUAGACCUUGGUGACCCAUCUAUCUCUAUCUUUAGACCAUGGUGACCUUGGUGACCCAUCUGUCUUUAUCUUUAGACCUUGGUGACCCAUCUAUCUUUAUCUUUAGACCUUGGUGACCCAUCUAUCUUUAUCUUUAGACCUUGGUGACCCAUCUAUCUCUAUCUUUAGACCUUGGUGACCUUAGUGACCCAUCUAUCUCUAUCUUUAGACCUUGGUGACCCAUCAAUCUUUCUAUAGACCUUGGUGACCCAUCUAUCUCUAUCUUUAGACCUUGGUGACCUUGGUGACCCAUCUAUCUUUAGAACCCAUCUGAGGAUCUGGUUUGUUGUCAUUUCACACGGGCCUAGUUGCAUCUGCCUGCAAUACACGUAUACGUUAUGAAACUGAGCAAAACAGGUUUAGACCAAUUCUCAAAUCCACCCUCAGCUCCUCAAUCCUUUGCUAAACUUCUUUUAUAUUCAAAAAGAUUUUGGCGUCGCUCUUUCAGUCAAAUAAAAAGGAGAAUGUGCAUUGAAUUGAGGAGGUUGUUGCUGAGAAGCUGCUAUGGAUUAGAGGCGAGUCAUUCCAUCACAUCAAAGUCCAGCCUGGUGGUGGGAAACGGGAGCCAUUAAGCUUCUUCCUCACAGCUUCUCCCGUCUUUAUGUUCUCUUCUCAUGAGCAGCCUCUCGACCUUCCUUCUGGUACUUUAAUCAUCAUAGUUUUUCCAUCAAGCACUGCUGAAAGAGCCAACAGGGAGAGAGGGAGAGAGAAAGAGACAUAAGUGACACAGCAGUGCCCUGACCUCCGGGCCGCUGUGGUCACGCUGGGGACGUUAUAUACUCGAACGUUUACUCUGUCCUCGGGACACAAAUGUUUUUCUACUGUCCGACAGGCUCUUU